This 365-nucleotide ribosomal RNA is filed under the name uncultured soil bacterium. RNAcentral describes it as "bacterial SSU rRNA". It matches the Rfam family "Bacterial small subunit ribosomal RNA", at positions 26 to 384 of the family's 1533-position model. The record is from RNAcentral.
AGAUUGAACGCUGGCGGCGUGCCUAACACAUGCAAGUCGAGCGGUAACAGGUGUAGCAAUACAUGCUGACGAGCGGCGAACGGGUGAGUAAUGCUUCGGAAUCUACCUUAUGGUGGGGAAUAACUAGCCGAAAGGUUAGCUAAUACCGCAUACGUCCUACGGGAGAAAGCAGGGGAUCGCAAGACCUUGCGACCAAAAGAUGAGCCGAAGUCGGAUUAGCUAGUGGUAGGUACGCCUACAGGCGACGAUCCGUAGCUGGUCUGAGAGGACGACCAGCCACACGUGGAACUGACGACACGGUCCAGACUCCGUACGGGAGCAGCGAGGUGGGGAAUAGUUAGGAACAAGGUACGGGGGGAAACCCU